GUCUCUUUGCAUGCAGUUCUGGUCACCACUGGCUGAGCUUUUCAAGUUAGACCCACGGGCCAGAGCUGACACAUCGUCUUGUUGGGAGACUCGUGCAGUAGUUUCUAACACCGCAGCUUAUGAUGGGCACCAACCUCUUCUGUACUGCUGUUCACGGGACAUGGAAAUACAAUGUCAGCAAGGCCACGGCAGGAUGCACUCCCUUGGCGAAGCAAUCUUGAUGCUGUUUCACGGUCCACUCUGCAAUGACGAGAAGACAUAUCCAAACCAGAGACGUAGAAGUGACGGCCCAGAAUUGCAUGGAAUGGCGCAGGAUGGUCCACAAGAGACGUUGCCUUGAUGCAGACCACUUGACACAACGAUGAAGAGACCUUAUCAAGUAUCAAGAAACCGCAUUGAUCUGGAAGUCU
Molecule: long non-coding RNA, 410 nt
Organism: Branchiostoma floridae (Florida lancelet)
Lineage: Eukaryota; Metazoa; Chordata; Leptocardii; Amphioxiformes; Branchiostomatidae
Exons: 4
Source: RefSeq, a predicted model, not a curated record